This 415-nucleotide ribosomal RNA is filed under the name Polyschismium peyerimhoffii. RNAcentral describes it as "bacterial SSU rRNA". It matches the Rfam family "Eukaryotic small subunit ribosomal RNA", at positions 1427 to 1824 of the family's 1831-position model. Lineage: Eukaryota; Evosea; Eumycetozoa; Physariida; Didymiaceae. The record is from RNAcentral.
CGACAAGGUUCUUGAAAUGGGUUAAUAACAGGUCAGUCAUGCCCUUAGAUGUUCUGGGCCGCACGCGCGUUACAAUGGCAUGCUUUAGAAAGUGCUCAAAAGGGCGUAUCCGCGGCCUACAGGUCGCGGUAACCCCUAGUCCCUGCCUUGACUGGGACAGACUAUUGCAAUUAUUGGUCUCAAACGAGGAAUUUUUAGUAGUCGCAGGUCAUUAACCUGCGACGAAUGCGUCCCUGCCCUUUGUACACACCGCCCGUCGCUGCUACCGAUUGGGUCCUGCGGUUACGAGUUCGGAGGCUGGUGGCGCUCCGCUUGCCUCACGGUAGGCGGGUGCCUCGGCUGAAGUUCUAAUUACCGCAUGGCCUAGAGGAAGCAGAAGUCGUAACAAGGUAAUCGUAGGUGAACCUGCGUUUGG